RNAcentral lists this ribosomal RNA (460 nucleotides) under uncultured bacterium. RNAcentral's name for it is "partial 16S ribosomal RNA". It matches the Rfam family "Bacterial small subunit ribosomal RNA", at positions 338 to 795 of the family's 1533-position model. The record is from RNAcentral.
CCUACGGGUGGCAGCCGUGAGGACUAUUGGUCAAUGGACGACAGUCUGAACCAGCCAAGUAGCGUGAAGGAUGACUUCCCUAUGGGUUGUACACUUCUUUUAUAUGGGAAUAAAAUGUUCCACGUGUGGGAUUUUGUAUGUACCAUAUGAAUAAGGAUCGUCUAACUCCGUGCCAGCCGCCGCGGUAAUACGGAGGCUACGAGCGUUGUCCGGAUUUAUUGGGUUUAAAGUGAGCGUAGGUGGAUUGUUAAGUCAGAUGUGAAAGUUUGCGGCGCAACCGUAAAAUUGCAGUUGAAACUGGCAGUCUUGAGUACAGUAGAGGUGGGCGGAAUUCGUGGUGUAGCGGUGAAAUGCUUAGAUAUCACGAAGAAGUCCGAUUGCGAAGGCAGCUCACUGGACUGCAACUGACACUGAGGCUCGAAAGUGUGGGUAUCAAACAGGAUUAGAUACCCUUGUAGUC